Molecule: non-coding RNA, 104 nt
Filed under: Microcebus murinus (gray mouse lemur)
Lineage: Eukaryota; Metazoa; Chordata; Mammalia; Primates; Cheirogaleidae
Source: RNAcentral
GGCUGGUCCAAGUGCAGCGGUGUUAACAACUAAUUGACCAUGACCAGUUACAGAUGUCUUUGUUCCUUCUCCAUUUGCACUGCGCUUCACUUGAUUAACGUGAA